RNAcentral lists this transfer RNA (59 nucleotides) under Delftia acidovorans. RNAcentral describes it as "tRNA-Xxx". It matches the Rfam family "tRNA", at positions 18 to 71 of the family's 71-position model. From Rfam's summary of the family: Transfer RNA (tRNA) molecules are approximately 80 nucleotides in length. Their secondary structure includes four short double-helical elements and three loops (D, anti-codon, and T loops). Further hydrogen bonds mediate the characteristic L-shaped molecular structure. tRNAs have two regions of fundamental functional importance: the anti-codon, which is responsible for specific mRNA codon recognition, and the 3' end, to which the tRNAs corresponding amino acid is attached (by aminoacyl-tRNA synthetases). tRNAs cope with the degeneracy of the genetic code in two manners: having more than one tRNA (with a specific anti-codon) for a particular amino acid; and 'wobble' base-pairing, i.e. permitting non-standard base-pairing at the 3rd anti-codon position. RNAcentral also lists the same sequence under 1 other name. Lineage: Bacteria; Pseudomonadati; Pseudomonadota; Betaproteobacteria; Burkholderiales; Comamonadaceae. The record is from RNAcentral.
GUUAGAAUACCGGCCUGUCACGCCGGGGGUCGCGGGUUCGAGUCCCGUCCACUCCGCCA